This 433-nucleotide ribosomal RNA is filed under the name uncultured bacterium. RNAcentral describes it as "partial 16S ribosomal RNA". It matches the Rfam family "Bacterial small subunit ribosomal RNA", at positions 29 to 507 of the family's 1533-position model. The record is from RNAcentral.
AACGAACGCUGGCGGCAUGCCUAACACAUGCAAGUCGAACGAGACCUUCGGGUCUAGUGGCGCACGGGUGCGUAACGCGUGGGAACCUGCCCUUAGGUUCGGAAUAACUCCCCGAAAGGGGUGCUAAUACCGGAUAAUGUCUUCGGACCAAAGAUUUAUCGCCUUCGGAUGGGCCCGCGUUGGAUUAGCUAGUUGGUAGGGUAAAAGCCUACCAAGGCGACGAUCCAUAGCUGGUCUGAGAGGAUGAUCAGCCACACUGGGACUGAGACACGGCCCAGACUCCUACGGGAGGCAGCAGUGGGGAAUAUUGGACAAUGGGCGAAAGCCUGAUCCAGCAAUGCCGCGUGAGUGAUGAAGGCCUUAGGGUUGUAAAGCUCUUUUACCCGGGAUGAUAAUGACAGUACCGGGAGAAUAAGCGCCGGCUAACUCCGUG